Molecule: ribosomal RNA, 292 nt
Filed under: uncultured eukaryote
Lineage: Eukaryota
Description: partial 18S ribosomal RNA
Rfam family: Eukaryotic small subunit ribosomal RNA
Source: RNAcentral
GGUUGAUCCUGCCAGUAGUCAUAUGCUUGUCUCAAAGAUUAAGCCAUGCAUGUCUAAGUAUAAGCAACUAUACUGUGAAACUGCGAAUGGCUCAUUAAAUCAGUUAUAGUUUAUUUGAUAGUACCUUACUACUUGGAUAACCGUGGUAAUUCUAGAGCUAAUACAUGCUAAAAAUCCCGACUUUACGGAAGGGAUGUAUUUAUUAGAUAAAAAACCAACCCGGGCAACCGGUCUUUUGGUGAUUCAUAAUAACUUUUCGAAUCGCAUGACUUUACGUCGGCGAUGGUUCAUU